RNAcentral lists this transfer RNA (76 nucleotides) under Paludibacteraceae bacterium. RNAcentral describes it as "tRNA-Glu". It matches the Rfam family "tRNA". From Rfam's summary of the family: Transfer RNA (tRNA) molecules are approximately 80 nucleotides in length. Their secondary structure includes four short double-helical elements and three loops (D, anti-codon, and T loops). The record is from RNAcentral. Lineage: Bacteria; Pseudomonadati; Bacteroidota; Bacteroidia; Bacteroidales; Paludibacteraceae.
GGUGCUAUCGUCUAGUGGCCUAGGACAACGGCCUCUCACGCCGUAAACCGGGGUUCGAUUCCCCGUAGCACUACCA